CUAAAAGCAUUGUGAUUCUCCUUCUCGGAUCAUUACACAAUGUGAUUUCUGCCCAGUGCUCUGAAUGUCAAAGUGAAGAAAUUCAAACAAGCGCGGGUAAACGGCGGGAGUAACUAUGACUCUCUUAAGGUAGCCAAAUGCCUCGUCAUUUGAUUAGUGACGCGCAUGAAUGGAUCAACGAGAUUCCCACUGUCCCUACCCACCCUGCAGCGAACCCACAGCAUCGGGAACGGACGAUGCUAUAGUCAGAGGGGAAAGAAGACCCUGUUGAGUUUGACUCUACCUUGAUGGAGCCGAAUGUCUUUGGGAGUGUAGAGUAAGUGGGAGAGUAAUCAAUCUUGAAACACCACUAUCUCGAACGAUAUUCGGCUAAGGAAAUUAAAAGGGAGUAAGUAGCAAUACUUACCUUCUAGAUUAUUAGUUUCCCUUAUUUCCUACCCCCCAUCAGGCGGGGAGUUUGGCUGGGGCGGCACGCCUGCUAUACCACAACGCAGGUGUCCUAAGGGGAGCUCCGAUGGAACAGAAAUCCC
RNAcentral lists this ribosomal RNA (530 nucleotides) under uncultured eukaryote. Its description in RNAcentral is "eukaryotic LSU rRNA". It matches the Rfam family "Eukaryotic large subunit ribosomal RNA", at positions 2150 to 2693 of the family's 3401-position model. The record is from RNAcentral.